This 804-nucleotide ribosomal RNA is filed under the name Flavobacterium sp. GUAF 7105. RNAcentral's name for it is "bacterial SSU rRNA". It matches the Rfam family "Bacterial small subunit ribosomal RNA", at positions 21 to 825 of the family's 1533-position model. The record is from RNAcentral. Lineage: Bacteria; Pseudomonadati; Bacteroidota; Flavobacteriia; Flavobacteriales; Flavobacteriaceae.
GGCUCAGGAUGAACGCUAGCGGCAGGCUAACACAUGCAAGUCGAGGGGUAGAGUUAGCUUGCUAACUUGAGACCGGCGCACGGGUGCGUAACGCGUAUGCAAUCUGCCUUGUACUGAGGGAUAGCCCAGAGAAAUUUGGAUUAAUACCUCAUAGUAUAUUCUGGUGGCAUCACCGGAUUAUUAAAGUUCCAACGGUACAAGAUGAGCAUGCGUCCCAUUAGUUAGUUGGUAAGGUAACGGCUUACCAAGACAAUGAUGGGUAGGGGUCCUGAGAGGGAGAUCCCCCACACUGGUACUGAGACACGGACCAGACUCCUACGGGAGGCAGCAGUGAGGAAUAUUGGUCAAUGGGCGCAAGCCUGAACCAGCCAUGCCGCGUGCAGGAUGACGGUCCUAUGGAUUGUAAACUGCUUUUAUACGGGAAGAAACACUCCUACGUGUAGGAACUUGACGGUACCGUAAGAAUAAGGAUCGGCUAACUCCGUGCCAGCAGCCGCGGUAAUACGGAGGAUCCAAGCGUUAUCCGGAAUCAUUGGGUUUAAAGGGUCCGUAGGCGGCUUUAUAAGUCAGUGGUGAAAGCCCAUCGCUUAACGAUGGAACGGCCAUUGAUACUGUAGAGCUUGAAUUACUGUGAAGUAACUAGAAUAUGUAGUGUAGCGGUGAAAUGCUUAGAUAUUACAUGGAAUACCAAUUGCGAAGGCAGGUUACUAACAGUGGAUUGACGCUGAUGGACGAAAGCGUGGGGAGCGAACAGGAUUAGAUACCCUGGUAGUCCACGCCGUAAACGAUGGAUACUAGCUGUUU